RNAcentral lists this transfer-messenger RNA (370 nucleotides) under Streptomyces sp. B1866. It matches the Rfam family "transfer-messenger RNA". From Rfam's summary of the family: Bacterial tmRNA, also known as 10Sa RNA or SsrA, is named for its dual tRNA and mRNA-like properties. Its role is to liberate the mRNA from a stalled ribosome. The record is from RNAcentral. Lineage: Bacteria; Bacillati; Actinomycetota; Actinomycetes; Kitasatosporales; Streptomycetaceae.
GGGGAUGAUCGGUUUCGACAGCGGCUGUCGAAGCAGGGGAAGCGAGCCGAGGAAGCGGCAAUGAUCUCGUUAACCACAUGCCGAAACCAAUAAUCGCCAACAACAAGCGCGAUUCCUUCCGCCUCGCUGCCUGAGUAGCGAGGCGUGAAGUGUCAGCCCGGGGCUGUUCCCGACCCGGUGUCUGGCAUCAUUAAGGGGACUCCACCACCGGCUCCGGCCACGGGGGCCGGUGGGAAACCUCACAGUGGCUGAGCCCGUCGGAGACUUGUCCGCGUGAUCUCCGGGGCCGAGAAAAGCGAAGCGGACUGCGCUCGGAGAAGCCCUGAUUCCGCACCGUUGGACGCGGGUUCGAUUCCCGCCAUCUCCACGA